Molecule: ribosomal RNA, 460 nt
Filed under: uncultured bacterium
Lineage: Bacteria
Description: partial 16S ribosomal RNA
Rfam family: Bacterial small subunit ribosomal RNA
Source: RNAcentral
CCUACGGGAGGCAGCAGUGAGGAAUAUUGGUCAAUGGACGAGAGUCUGAACCAGCCAAGUAGCGUGAAGGAUGACUGCCCUAUGGGUUGUAAACUUCUUUUAUAUGGGAAUAAAACGUUCCACGUGUGGGAUUUUGUAUGUACCAUAUGAAUAAGGAUCGGCUAACUCCGUGCCAGCAGCCGCGGUAAUACGGAGGAUCCGAGCGUUAACCGGAUUUAUUGGGUUUAAAGGGAGCGUAGGUGGAUUGUUAAGUCAGUUGUGAAAGUUUGCGGCUCAACCGUAAAAUUGCAGUUGAAACUGGCAGUCUUGAGUACAGUAGAGGUGGGCGGAAUUCGUGGUGUAGCGGUGAAAUGCUUAGAUAUCACGAAGAACUCCGAUUGCGAAGGCAGUUCACUGGACUGCAACUGACACUGAGGCUCGAAAGUGUGGGUAUCAAACAGGAUUAGAUACCCGAGUAGUC